RNAcentral lists this ribosomal RNA (508 nucleotides) under uncultured bacterium. RNAcentral describes it as "partial 16S ribosomal RNA". It matches the Rfam family "Bacterial small subunit ribosomal RNA", at positions 28 to 523 of the family's 1533-position model. The record is from RNAcentral.
GAUGAACGCUAGCUACAGGCUUAACACAUGCAAGUCGAGGGGAAACGAUAUUGGAAGCUUGCUUCCGAUAGGCGUCGACCGGCGCACGGGUGAGUAACGCGUAUCCAACCUGCCCACCACUUGGGAAUAACCUUGCGAAAGUAAGACUAAUGCCCAAUGAUAUCUCUAGAAGACAUCUGAAAGAGAUUAAAGAUUUAUCGGUGAUGGAUGGGGAUGCGUCUGAUUAGCUUGUUGGCGGGGUAACGGCCCACCAAGGCGACGAUCAGUAGGAGUUCUGAGAGGAGGGUCCCCCAAAUUGGAACUGAGACACGGUCCAAACUCCUACGGGAGGCAGCAGUGAGGAAUAUUGGUCAAUGGACGAGAGUCUGGACCAGCCAAGUAGCGUGCAGGAUGACGGCCCUAUGGGUUGUAAACUGCUUUUAUAAGGGAAUAAAGUGAGUCUCGUGAGACUUUUUGCAUGUACCUUAUGAAUAAGGACCGGCUAAUUCCGUGCCAGCCGCCGCAGUAA